GGGGGCGAAAUAGGAUCGACGUGCCUAAUAAAAAAAUUGCUUUUACUCGGGAUGAUUCCGCCGCAGGCUUUUGCCUUACGGGUCAAAACAAAGAAACGCAAACGAUAACUAUCGUUCCGCAGGUACUCCAGCUUUAGCUGUAGCAUAAACCUGCACGGCUUGGGGGUUUGCCGGGUAACAGAAAAACCCUCAAA
This 194-nucleotide transfer-messenger RNA is filed under the name Rickettsia bellii RML369-C. Its description in RNAcentral is "transfer-messenger RNA Ricke_belli_RML369". It matches the Rfam family "Alphaproteobacteria transfer-messenger RNA", at positions 148 to 355 of the family's 355-position model. Rfam says of the family: Bacterial tmRNA, also known as 10Sa RNA or SsrA, is named for its dual tRNA and mRNA-like properties. Its role is to liberate the mRNA from a stalled ribosome. To accomplish this part of the tmRNA is used as a reading frame that ends in a translation stop signal. Lineage: Bacteria; Pseudomonadati; Pseudomonadota; Alphaproteobacteria; Rickettsiales; Rickettsiaceae. RNAcentral also lists the same sequence under 1 other name. The record is from RNAcentral.